UAGUGUUACAGCUCUUUGAGAAUUUGUCUAGCAGGCUUUUGGGUCUUUACUAGAAAGCCCCU
Small nuclear RNA from Callithrix jacchus (white-tufted-ear marmoset), 62 nucleotides. Its record names the gene U7. It matches the Rfam family "U7 small nuclear RNA". From Rfam's summary of the family: Animal histone pre-mRNAs are spliced by a different mechanism than nuclear pre-mRNAs and self-splicing introns. This processing involves the U7 snRNP, which contains only one RNA species: U7. The record is from Ensembl. NCBI's taxonomy places the organism in Eukaryota, Metazoa, Chordata, Mammalia, Primates, Cebidae.